UACAUAGCGUGUGCGGUUCUCCUGACUGAUCUGCCGUACACAGCUUAAAAGAAGGAGGUUCAGUCUUUCCCCUGCUUGGGGUGCAGCAUUGUGGAGACGUGCUGUAAUGCGGCGAUCCCAGGAUCCCGCGAGAGUCCCGAUUGCGGAGGCACGGGGCCCGAAGCAAGUAUAUGGCA
RNAcentral lists this non-coding RNA (176 nucleotides) under unclassified sequences. RNAcentral describes it as "malK-I RNA". It matches the Rfam family "malK-I RNA". The record is from RNAcentral.